This 630-nucleotide ribosomal RNA is filed under the name Amanita sp. 'zayantensis'. RNAcentral describes it as "partial 28S ribosomal RNA". Lineage: Eukaryota; Fungi; Basidiomycota; Agaricomycetes; Agaricales; Amanitaceae. The record is from RNAcentral.
UUGACCUCAAAUCAGGUAGGACUACCCGCUGAACUUAAGCAUAUCAAUAAGCGGAGGAAAAGAAACUAACAAGGAUUCCCCUAGUAACUGCGAGUGAAGCGGGAAAAGCUCAAAUUUAAAAUCUGGCGGUGUUUUGCYGUCCGAAUUGUAGCCUAGAGAAGUGUUACCCGGACUGGACCAUGUAUAAGUCUCCUGGGAUGGAGCGUCAUAGAGGGUGAGAAUCCCGUCUUUGACAUGGACUACCAGUGCAUUUGUGGUAUGCUCUCAAAGAGUUGAGUUGUUUGGGAAUGCAGCUCUAAAUGGGUGGUAAAUUCCAUCUAAAGCUAAAUAUUGGCGAGAGACCGAUAGCGAACAAGUACCGUGAGGGAAAGAUGAAAAGAACUUUGGAAAGAGAGUUAAACAGUAUGUGAAAUUGUUGAAAGGGAAACGUUUGAAGUCAGUUGUAUUGGUCAGGGAUCAAGCCAGCAAUUAUUGCUGGGUGUAAUUCCUGGACAAUGGGCCAACAUCAGUUUUGAUUGCUGGAGAARGRCAUUGGGAAAGUGGCACCUGCGGGUGUGUUAUAGCCCAUUGUCAUAUACAGUGGUUGGGACUGAGGAAAGCAGCGCGCCGUAAAGGCGGGGUUUCGACCAC